AUUUCCUUCGCGGUUCCUGAGCAGUGUGUUCUUCAUCCAGACGUAAGCAGCGACACCACACAUUUUGAAGUUGCUGCGAAAAGGUUCGAUAACAUCGAACUGAAAUUUGAUUGUUGAUGUUUUUUUAUUGGAGAACUCCAUUGAAGAUUCAUUGUUCUGAACCCAUUUUCGAUUUUUAGGGUUUUUUUCACAUUUUGAGUAUUUUGUUCUAGGAUUGCAGCAUAUUGACAGUGGGUUAUAUGUAUUUUGAAAUCGAACCCCAUACCCAUUUUCUUUCUAUGUUUUUCGUGAGGAUCUUGGAACUCCGAACAUCAAAAUUGAUGGUAAUCUAUGGUGUGCUAUUUAAAUAUCUUAGAUCUGAUUGUGUUAUUCAUCUAUGGAAUUAAAAUGGGUGGUGUAGUGAAUGAAUAAGGACUCAAUAGUUGUCGGUUUUAAAUUGCUGAGAAGCGAAUGAUAAAAAAUUCAUCCUUUCCGAUCAGUUGAACUCUAUCUUUUCUUUUUACAAUCACGAAGAAAAAUAGUUACUUAGGUAACACUCGCAAUCUAUGUCAAAUCAAGAAGAGAAGUCAGAAAUUGACAUAACUGUUCGGUUGCUGUUGUUGAUAUAAUUUGAACGAUUCUAGCAAUCUUUCUUUUAUUAGGUCCUAUUCCCAGGUCUCUAUAUCACAUUUACCUUAGUGCAUGCUCAUCUUUCUGUAUUUGCGUGAGAUCUGGGCAAGCUACUUAUAGGAGUUAGUUAAGUUUAAAGUGAUGAUCGUGGAUAUUGAUUCUUUCAACAGUUUGAGUUAGCACAAUUAUGCUCUACUUUACUGAUUUUCUUUCAACAGUUUGAGUUAGCAAUCAAAGUCUCUGUUUCAUUUCUGUUUUCUAAGAACAUCGCAUAGCAACGCUACAACAAGUCUUUUCCAAUUUAGCUAUGUUUUAUACUUCUAUUGAUGUGAACUCUUACAUAUUGCAUAUUAGGAAAUUUGCAUGUAACUAUUCCAUCUCGCCGCCAAUUAAAUGCUUAUGUCUAUGCAAUGGUAGAGGAGGUUGUACACCAGCUAUUGCUGCAAAUCAUUGUUGUGUUUGGUGAAUUAGCAAGAAAUAAGUCGAGAAAAAGGAACCGUUGUUUAGGACCCGGGCCUUACACUUUCCUGGCUCGUAUUCCCGAUCAAGUAAAACAUAUGAGUAGGCUUGUUAAUGUUAGUGAUGUUGAUUGUAUUUCAAAUUUACACAAAUCGCCGCAUGUUCUUGUAGAUGUUCUCGACGCAUUCAACGAUGACCUCCGCUUGAGUUUCCGUCUGCUUGACCUAACCCAGCGACUGGAAUUCCUUGAAGAACGUUUCAACAUGUUCAAAUACUUGACAAAUCUGCCACAGACGCAAUGGGAUAUGGCCACUAACACCAUCAACGCCGUUGAUGAAGCUUGGGAGA
RNAcentral lists this long non-coding RNA (1416 nucleotides) under Salvia miltiorrhiza (redroot sage). RNAcentral's name for it is "long non-coding RNA (SMIL_LNC005601)". The record is from RNAcentral. Lineage: Eukaryota; Viridiplantae; Streptophyta; Magnoliopsida; Lamiales; Lamiaceae.